UACAGAGGGUGCAAGCGUUGUUCGGAAUUAUUGGGCGUAAAGGGCGCGUAGGCGGUGCUGUAAGUCUGUAGUGAAAUCUCUGGGCUCAACUCAGAGUCUGCUAUAGAAACUGCCGGGCUUGAGUAUGGGAGAGGUGAGUGGAAUUUCCGGUGUAGCGGUGAAAUGCGUAGAUAUCGGAAGGAACACCUGUGGCGAAAGCGGCUCACUGGACCAUAACUGACGCUGAGGCACGAAAGCUAGGGGAGCAAACAGG
RNAcentral lists this ribosomal RNA (253 nucleotides) under uncultured bacterium. Its description in RNAcentral is "partial 16S ribosomal RNA". It matches the Rfam family "Bacterial small subunit ribosomal RNA", at positions 524 to 776 of the family's 1533-position model. The record is from RNAcentral.